AGAGAAUUUUGUAAAGACUGAAGUAAAUGGUAAUCUGAAGGUGCAAUGUCUGGCGAAUAUGGCAGAUGAAUCAGAACUUCCCAGCCAAGCUGUAACAGUUUUUGCCUGGUCGUCAAAGAAACAUGAGGUCUUGCGUUAUCCUGGUGGAAAAUUAUGCAUUUUCUGUUGACUAAUUCCAGACGCUUUUCAUCGAGUGAUGC
This is a long non-coding RNA of Aethalodelphis obliquidens (Pacific white-sided dolphin), 200 nucleotides long. RefSeq lists it as uncharacterized. The record is from RefSeq and is a predicted model, not a curated record. Lineage: Eukaryota; Metazoa; Chordata; Mammalia; Artiodactyla; Delphinidae. The transcript is spliced from 3 exons.